AGGCCUUGUGGUGUCAUCAUGUGUGGUUGCAAACCACAAGAAGCAGAAUAAUUCUCUGCCGGGGCUUC
This 68-nucleotide transfer RNA is filed under the name Scaphiophryne madagascariensis. Its description in RNAcentral is "tRNA-Cys". The record is from RNAcentral. Lineage: Eukaryota; Metazoa; Chordata; Amphibia; Anura; Microhylidae. RNAcentral also lists the same sequence under 1 other name.